Molecule: ribosomal RNA, 3339 nt
Filed under: Halisarca caerulea
Lineage: Eukaryota; Metazoa; Porifera; Demospongiae; Chondrillida; Halisarcidae
Description: bacterial LSU rRNA
Rfam family: Bacterial large subunit ribosomal RNA
Source: RNAcentral
CUGCUGGUGCUGCUGCUGCUGCCGGUGCAUGCGGUGCCGUCCGCCCCUGGGACCGCGUGACUGGCAAGCUGUGCGCACUGCGGCGGCUUGUGGGGUUGCCGCGGAUGUGGGCCUCGGGUCAGGCGGGAUCACCCGCUGAAUUUAAGCAUAUCAAUAAGCGGAGGAGAAGAAACUAACCAGGAUUCCCCCAGUAGCGGCGAGUGAAGCGGGAAGAGCCCAAGCCUCUAAUCUCCGUCGCGUGGCGACGGCGAAUUGUAGUCUGGAGACGGGUCAUCUCGUCGGCGCAGCCUCCCGAAGUCGUCGUGGAAAGGCGCGCCCGAGAGGGUGAGAGCCCCGUUGUCGGGAACGCUUUGCCGGCGUGACGAGGCCCCGUCGUAGAGUCGGGUUGUUUGGGAAUGCAGCCCAAAGCGGGUGGUAAACUCCAUCCAAGGCUAAGUACCGGCACGAGACCGAUAGCGAACAAGUACCGUGAGGGAAAGGUGAAAAGAACCCCGGGAGGGGAGUGAAACAGAACCUGAAACCGUACGCAAACAAACAGUGGGAGGGAGCGCUUGCGCUCCUGACCGCGUACCUUUUGCAUAAUGGGUCAGCGAGUUGCGCUUGCCGGCAAGGUUAACCGUAUAGGGAAGCCGCAGGGAAACCGAGUCUUAAUAGGGCGACACAGUCGACAGGCGCAGACCCGAAACCAGGUGAUCUAUCCAUGGACAGGUUGAAAGUUCGGUAACACGGGCUGGAGGACCGAACCCACUGAUGUUGCAAAAUCAGGGGAUGAUCUGUGGAUAGGGGUGAAAGGCCAAUCAAACCUGGAGAUAGCUGGUUCUCUCCGAAAACUAUUGAGGUAGUGCCUCGUGUUUAUCACUGCCGGGGGUAGAGCACUGUUAUGGCUAGGGGGUCACGCCGACUUACCAAACCAUGGCAAACUCCGAAUACCGGUAAGCGCAAUCACGGGAGACAGACAGCGGGUGCGAACGUCCGUUGUCAAGAGGGAAACAACCCAGACCGCCGUCUAAGGCCCCCAAGCCGUUGCUAAGUGGGAAACGAAGUGGGGGGGCACACACAGCCAGGAUGUUGGCUUAGAAGCAGCCAUCAUUUAAAGAAAGCGUAAUAGCUCACUGGUCUAGUCCCCCUGCGCGGAAAAUGUAACGGGGCUUAAGCAACGCGCCGAAGACGCGGGUGUCAGAAGGUUGAGUAAAGGGAAUUGCCCGGGGAGCCGGGCAGUUUUUACAAGGGCGGGGUUCUACCCGACUUCGCCCUGUUUGGUGGGAUUUGAGAAAUUCAGUGCCGAAUUCGGUAUAAUUUUCGACAUGAACAUCAACGCCAGCAAGGAGCUGCUUGCCACGCUUGCCUCCACCGUUGCCAUUAUCGCCUUUUUGGUGUCUUUGGCGACGCAAAUGGGCGAAAUGCGCGGCGCAAUAGAAGCCAACGGCAAGGCAAUUGCGGAGUUGCGCGACGAUGUGCGCGAUUUGCGCAACACGGUCGCCGCGAACACCGCGUCGGUCGCAGAAAUGCGCGGCACAUUGUUGUCGCACAUUGGCGGGCAUAACCAUGCGCCCGUUGUCGCCGAAGGCAAAGAGGAAGAGUGAUAUGCGCGCUUUUCCGUCAUGUGAAUUAAAGUUCCCUUUACUCAACCUUUUGACGCGGUAGGAGAGCGUUCCGUAAGCCAGUGAAGGCGGUUUGAAAGGGCCGCUGGAGGUAUCGGAAGUGAGAAUGCUGACAUGAGUAACGUUAAAACGGGUGAAAAACCCGUUCGCCGAAAGUCCCAGGUUUCCUGUGCAAUGUUAAUCAUCGCAGGGUUAGUCGAUUCCUAAGGCGAGGCCGAAAGGCGUAGUCGAUGGAAAACGGGUUAAUAUUCCCGUACCUUCGCAUGAUGCGAUGGGGUGACGGAGAGUGCUGCCUUGUCCGGGUGUUGGAAGUCCCGGUUCAAGCUGGUAGUUCAUUGAUGUUUCCAGGUAAAUCCGGAAACGGAGAAUGAGAAGCGACAACGACCGCUUUUUCGGAAGCGGGAAGCAAGUGACGCACGCUCCCAAGAAAAGCCUCUAAGCUUCAGUCAUGCGAGGAUCGUACCGCAAACCGACACUGGUGGACAGGAAGAAUAUUCCAAGGCGCUUGAGAGAACUCGGGUGAAGGAACUCGGCAAAAUGAUACCGUAACUUCGGGAGAAGGUAUGCCCCGACAAUGUGAAGUCCCUCGCGGACGGAGCAGUAAGGGGUCGAAGAGAAUUGGUGGCUGCGACUGUUUACUAAAAACACAGCACUCUGCAAACACGAAAGUGGAAGUAUAGGGUGUGACGCCUGCCCAAUGCCGGAAGGUUAAUUGACGGGGUUAGCCCUUAUGGGCGAAGCUCCUGAUCGAAGCCCCGGUCAAUGGCGGCCGUAACUAUAACGGUCCUAAGGUAGCGAAAUUCCUUGUCGGGUAAGUUCCGACCUGCACGAAUGGCGUAACGACUGCUCCGGUGUCUCCAGCGUGGGCUCAGCGAAAUUGAAUUCUCCGUGAAGAUGCGGAGUACCCGCGGUUAGACGGAAAGACCCUAUGCACCUUUACUACAGCUUUGCGCUGACGCCAGAAUUUAUCUGUGUAGGAUAGGCGGGAGACUUUGAAGUUGCGGCGCCAGCCGUGAUGGAGUCGUCCUUGAAAUACCGCCCUGAUGGAUUUUGGUGUCUAACCUUGUUCUGUUAUCCAGAAUGGGGACACCGUAUGGUGGGUAGUUUGACUGGGGCGGUCGCCUCCUAAAGAGUAACGGAGGCGCGCAAAGGUGGGCUCAGUUCGGUCGGAAACCGAACGGCGAGUGCAAUGGCAUAAGCCUGCUUAACUGUGAGAGCGACAGCUCGAGCAGAGACGAAAGUCGGUCAUAGUGAUCCGGUGGUUCUGUGUGGAACGGCCAUCGCUAAACGGAUAAAAGGUACGCUAGGGAUAACAGGCUAAUCUCCCCCAAGAGUUCUCAUCGACGGGGAGGUUUGGCACCUCGAUGUCGACUCAUCGCAUCCUGGGGCUGUAGCAGGUCCCAAGGGUAUGGCUGUUCGCCAUUUAAAGCGGUACGCGAGUUGGGUUCAGAACGUCGUGAGACAGUUUGGUCCCUAUCUGCCGUGGGUGUUGGAAACUUGAAAGGGGCUGUCCCUAGUACGAGAGGACCGGGAUGGACGUACCUCUGGUGUUCCGAUUGUGGCGCCAGCCGCACUGUCGGGUAGCUAAGUAUGGGAACGAUAACCGCUGAAAGCAUCUAAGCGGGAAGCGUGCCUUGAGACUGGGUUUCCUUUGAGGGUUGUUGCAGACUACGACUUUGAUAGGCUUGGGGUGGAAGCGCAGUGAUGUGUGAAGCUGACGAGUACUAAUUGCCCGAAG